GGCAGCAUUGCUGUGACAGAGCUACAUUGUUUCCUGGAAGCCAGUGUGCAGCAUUUCAGGGUAGGAAGUUCAGUGAAAAAUGAGAUACUUUUGCUGUUUCAAAAAGUACUGAUUGCAAAUAGGGUGGUAACACUGCGAUAAGUCCUAUAAAGAGACAGUAUCAAAGGAACUUGUCUUAUAAUAAGGUGGCAGCACAAGUAGGAGUUGUUGCCAUCUCUAGGAAGAGCUUGGUAGACAUCCCAGCUUCGGGUGCAGGAUUACAGGAAGUCUCUAUGUUACCUAAUUAGAACAAAAAGGGAAAAUGGCAGGACUUUUUCAGAGUUAUUUAAGAAUCUUUAGUUGUUAGCUUUGUCUUUGAUUUCAAGCACAGCUAGUACUUGAAAGUCCUAGCUGUACCUUUGCAGUGAAAAAAAAAACACCUAAACCAACUGAAACAUGGUAUCACAGAAUAGAACACCAGGUUGGAAGGGACCUCAAGGAUAUCUACUCUGACCUUUCUUGGUAAAACAUGGUGGAACUGGUGUGGCUUCCAAAACCCCUGCUGCAUUCCCUCCUCCCUCCCAAGUUUUACAGACUUAAGACAUUUAAAUGAGUGAUCCCAUGGAGCAAGUUAAUUGUAUGGAAAGACAAAAAGUUAAAGUUACGUAUUCUCUGUUUUAGUGAACCCAGUGUGAAAUUAAAGACGUGUACUGCUUAAGGAAGAAGAAAAAAACAGUCAAAAUGCUGAAAGCCCCUUCCACCUCUGGAAAAGAGAUGCCUACCUGACUGCAGCUGUGAGACUCCGAUACCAGUCAUUGAUAUCUUGUUGGUCGCUGGACAUCAACAGCAGUGCCUUGUGUGGAAAGGAAAGCUGAAAGGCAAACAGAAUCUGUGGCAUUCCUUGCCUAGGCAGCAAUUCUGAUUAAAGGAGAAUCAUCACUACUGAA
Long non-coding RNA from Pseudopipra pipra, 926 nucleotides. RefSeq lists it as uncharacterized. Lineage: Eukaryota; Metazoa; Chordata; Aves; Passeriformes; Pipridae. The transcript has 2 exons. The record is from RefSeq and is a predicted model, not a curated record.